UACGGAGGUAGUUAGCGUGGUUCGGAAUUACUGGGCGUAAAGCGCGCGUAGGCGGCUUUGUAAGUUAGAGGUGAAAGCCCGGGGCUCAACUCCGGAACUGCCCUUAAGACUGCAAGACUAGAAUCCGGGAGAGGUGAGUGGAAUUCCGAGUGUAGAGGUGAAAUUCGUAGAUAUUCGGAAGAACACCAGUGGCGAAGGCGGCUCACUGGACCGGCAUUGACGCUGAGGUGCGAAAGCGUGGGGAGCAAACAGG
RNAcentral lists this unclassified non-coding RNA (253 nucleotides) under uncultured Sphingomonadaceae bacterium. Its description in RNAcentral is "contains 16S-23S intergenic spacer region". It matches the Rfam family "Bacterial small subunit ribosomal RNA", at positions 524 to 776 of the family's 1533-position model. The record is from RNAcentral. Lineage: Bacteria; Pseudomonadati; Pseudomonadota; Alphaproteobacteria; Sphingomonadales; Sphingomonadaceae.